AGUUUUCCUGUGAAGAAAUCCUAAAUGAGGGUUGAGAUGAAGGCAACCAGGUGAUGGGCAGUUCAAGAUUGCUGUCGUUUGAGAAGUUAAUGAACACAUCUUCUUUCCUGUUGCGGUUGUGAGCUACAAAAUACCCAGAGGAGGCGGCACUUACUCUGGAGUUCAUACAGAAAAUUUUCCUGUGAAGAAAUCCUGAACGUGGUUUGAGAUGAAGGCAACCAAGUGGCUAUGCAUUCCUCCAAGACUCUUGCAUGAACAAUUUUGAAAAUCCAUGUAAUAUUUGAGUUUUU
Labeo rohita (rohu) is the source of this 290-nucleotide long non-coding RNA. RefSeq lists it as uncharacterized. The record is from RefSeq and is a predicted model, not a curated record. The transcript has 3 exons. Lineage: Eukaryota; Metazoa; Chordata; Actinopteri; Cypriniformes; Cyprinidae.